This 253-nucleotide ribosomal RNA is filed under the name uncultured bacterium. Its description in RNAcentral is "partial 16S ribosomal RNA". It matches the Rfam family "Bacterial small subunit ribosomal RNA", at positions 524 to 776 of the family's 1533-position model. The record is from RNAcentral.
UACGGAGGGGGCGAGCGUUGUCCGAAUUUAUUGGGCGUAAAGCGCGUGUAGGCGGGUGAACAAGCCUGGGGUGAAAGGUUGGGGCUCAACCCCAAGAGUGCCCUGGGGACUGUUCGCCUGGAGGCCGGCAGAGGAGAGUGGAAUUCCUGGUGUAGCGGUGGAAUGCGUAGAGAUCAGGAAGAACACCCAUGGCGAAGGCAGCUCUCUGGGCCGGUACUGACGCUGAGACGCGAAAGCGUGGGGAGCGAACGGG